This 464-nucleotide ribosomal RNA is filed under the name uncultured Rhodocyclaceae bacterium. RNAcentral describes it as "partial 16S ribosomal RNA". It matches the Rfam family "Bacterial small subunit ribosomal RNA", at positions 338 to 794 of the family's 1533-position model. The record is from RNAcentral. Lineage: Bacteria; Pseudomonadati; Pseudomonadota; Betaproteobacteria; Rhodocyclales; Rhodocyclaceae.
CCUACGGGAGGCAGCAGUGAGGGAUAUUGCGCAAUGGGCGAAAGCCUGACGCAGCCAUUCCGCGUGAGUGAAGAAGGCCUUCGGGUUGUAAAGCUCUUUCGGCAGGAACGAAACGGCGGACUCUAACAUAGUCUGUCAAUGACGGUACCUGAAGAAGAAGCACCGGCUAACUACGUGCCAGCAGCCGCGGUAAUACGUAGGGUGCGAGCGUUAAUCGGAAUUACUGGGCGUAAAGCGUGCGCAGGCGGCUUUGUAAGACGGAUGUAAAAUCCCUGGGCUUAACCUAGGAACUGCGUUCGUGACUGAAAAGCUAGAGUGCGGCAGAGGGGGGUGGAAUUCCUGGUGUAGCAGUGAAAUGCGUAGAGAUCAGGAGGAACACCGAUGGCGAAGGCAGCCCCCUGGGUUGACACUGACGCUCAUGCACGAAAGCGUGGGGAGCAAACAGGAUUAGAUACCUUUGUAGU